AACGAACGCUAGCGGCAGGCCUAACACAUGCAAGUCGAACGGACAUUGAAGUGGGUUCGCCAAUGGAGAUGUUAGUGGCAGACGGGUGAGGAAUACAUAGGAAUCUACCUAGUAGUAUGGAAUAGUCACUGGAAACGGUGAGUAAUACCACAUACGCCCUGCGGGGGAAAGAGUUAUCGCUAUUAGAUGAGCCUAUGCUGGAUUAGGUAGUUGGUGGGGUAAAUGCCUACCAAGGCGACGAGCCAUAGCUGGCCUGAGAGGGUGACCAGCCACACUGGGACUGAGAUACGGUCCAGACUCCUACGGGAGGCAGCAGUGGGGAAUAUUGGGCAAUGGGCGCAAGCCUGACCCAGCCAUGCCGCAUGAGUGAAGAAGGCCUUCGGGUUGUAAAGCUCUUUCAGCGGGGAAGAUUAUGACGGUACCCGCAGAAGAAGUCCUGGCUAACUCCGUGCCAGCAGCCGCGGUAA
Molecule: ribosomal RNA, 467 nt
Filed under: uncultured bacterium
Lineage: Bacteria
Description: partial 16S ribosomal RNA
Rfam family: Bacterial small subunit ribosomal RNA
Source: RNAcentral